CAGUAGCCACGGUAAUACGUAGGGUGCAAGCGUUAAUCGGAAUUACUGGGCGUAAAGCGUGCGCAGGCGGUUUUGUAAGUUUGCCGUGAAAGCCCCGGGCUCAACCUGGGAAUUGCGAUGAAGACUGCAAGGCUUGAAUCUGGCAGAGGGGGGUAGAAUUCCACGUGUAGCAGUGAAAUGCGUAGAGAUGUGGAGGAACACCGAUGGCGAAGGCAGCCCCCUGGGUCAAGAUUGACGCUCAUGCACGAAAGCGUGGGGAGCAAACAGGAUUAGAUACCCCAGUAGUCCCUGUCUCUUAUAC
RNAcentral lists this ribosomal RNA (301 nucleotides) under uncultured bacterium. RNAcentral's name for it is "partial 16S ribosomal RNA". It matches the Rfam family "Bacterial small subunit ribosomal RNA", at positions 509 to 807 of the family's 1533-position model. The record is from RNAcentral.